Molecule: ribosomal RNA, 497 nt
Filed under: uncultured bacterium
Lineage: Bacteria
Description: partial 16S ribosomal RNA
Rfam family: Bacterial small subunit ribosomal RNA
Source: RNAcentral
GAUGAACGCUGGCGGCGUGCCUAAUACAUGCAAGUCGAGCGAACAGACGAGGAGCUUGCUCCACUGACGUUAGCGGCGGACGGGUGAGUAACACGUGGAUAACCUACCUAUAAGACUGGGAUAACUUCGGGAAACCGGAGCUAAUACCGGAUAAUAUAUUGAACCGCAUGGUUCAAUAGUGAAAGACGGUUUUGCUGUCACUUAUAGAUGGAUCCGCGCCGCAUUAGCUAGUUGGUAAGGUAACGGCUUACCAAGGCAACGAUGCGUAGCCGACCUGAGAGGGUGAUCGGCCACACUGGAACUGAGACACGGUCCAGACUCCUACGGGAGGCAGCAGUAGGGAAUCUUCCGCAAUGGGCGAAAGCCUGACGGAGCAACGCCGCGUGAAUGAUGAAGGUCUUCGGAUCGUAAAACUCUGUUAUUAGGGAAGAACAAAUGUGUAAGUAACUAUGCACGUCUUGACGGUACCUAAUCAGAAAGCCACGGCUAACUACGUG